RNAcentral lists this ribosomal RNA (713 nucleotides) under Methylorubrum podarium. Its description in RNAcentral is "bacterial SSU rRNA". It matches the Rfam family "Bacterial small subunit ribosomal RNA", at positions 23 to 780 of the family's 1533-position model. The record is from RNAcentral. Lineage: Bacteria; Pseudomonadati; Pseudomonadota; Alphaproteobacteria; Hyphomicrobiales; Methylobacteriaceae.
CUCAGAGCGAACGCUGGCGGCAGGCUUAACACAUGCAAGUCGAACGGGCUUCUUCGGAAGUCAGUGGCAGACGGGUGAGUAACACGUGGGAACGUGCCCUUCGGUUCGGAAUAACUCAGGGAAACUUGAGCUAAUACCGGAUACGCCCUUUUGGGGAAAGGUUGACUGCCGAAGGAUCGGCCCGCGUCUGAUUAGCUUGUUGGUGGGGUAACGGCCUACCAAGGCGACGAUCAGUAGCUGGUCUGAGAGGAUGAUCAGCCACACUGGGACUGAGACACGGCCCAGACUCCUACGGGAGGCAGCAGUGGGGAAUAUUGGACAAUGGGCGCAAGCCUGAUCCAGCCAUGCCGCGUGAGUGAUGAAGGCCUUAGGGUUGUAAAGCUCUUUUGUCCGGGACGAUAAUGACGGUACCGGAAGAAUAAGCCCCGGCUAACUUCGUGCCAGCAGCCGCGGUAAUACGAAGGGGGCUAGCGUUGCUCGGAAUCACUGGGCGUAAAGGGCGCGUAGGCGGCCGAUUAAGUCGGGGGUGAAAGCCUGUGGCUCAACCACAGAAUUGCCUUCGAUACUGGUUGGCUUGAGACCGGAAGAGGACAGCGGAACUGCGAGUGUAGAGGUGAAAUUCGUAGAUAUUCGCAAGAACACCAGUGGCGAAGGCGGCUGUCUGGUCCGGUUCUGACGCUGAGGCGCGAAAGCGUGGGGAGCAAACAGGAUUA